RNAcentral lists this ribosomal RNA (2028 nucleotides) under Pseudophormidium sp. SIK74. RNAcentral describes it as "bacterial SSU rRNA". The stretch from base 1 to 1484 matches the Rfam family "Bacterial small subunit ribosomal RNA". The record is from RNAcentral. Lineage: Bacteria; Bacillati; Cyanobacteriota; Cyanophyceae; Leptolyngbyales; Leptolyngbyaceae.
AGAGUUUGAUCCUGGCUCAGGAUGAACGCUGGCGGUAUGCUUAACACAUGCAAGUCGAACGGGACCUUUCGGGGUCUAGUGGCGGACGGGUGAGUAACGCGUGAGAACAUGCCCUUAGGUUCGGGACAACAGUUGGAAACGGCUGCUAAUACCGAAUGUGCCGAGAGGUGAAAGAUUAAUUGCCUAGGGAUUGGCUCGCGUCAGAUUAGCUAGUUGGUGGAGUAACGGUUUACCAAGGCGACGAUCUGUAUUUGGUCUGAGAGGAUGACCAGACACACUGGGACUGAGACACGGCCCAGACUCCUACGGGAGGCAGCAGUGGGGAAUUUUCCGCAAUGGGCGAAAGCCUGACGGAGCAAUACCGCGUGAGGGAGGAAGGCUUUUGGGUUGUAAACCUCUUUUAUCAGGGAAGAAACAAAUGACGGUACCUGAUGAAUCAGCAUCGGCUAACUCCGUGCCAGCAGCCGCGGUAAUACGGAGGAUGCAAGCGUUAUCCGGAAUUAUUGGGCGUAAAGCGUCCGUAGGUGGUUUUUCAAGUCUGCUGUUAAAGCGUGGAGCUCAACUCCAUAUCGGCAGUGGAAACUGGGAGACUAGAGUGCGAUAGGGGUAACGGGAAUUCCCAGUGUAGCGGUGAAAUGCGUAGAGAUUGGGAAGAACACCAGCGGCGAAAGCGCGUUACUGGGUCUGCACUGACACUGAGGGACGAAAGCUAGGGGAGCGAAAGGGAUUAGAUACCCCUGUAGUCCUAGCCGUAAACGAUGGAUACUAGGUGUGGUUCGUAUCGACCCGAGCCGUGCCGGAGCUAACGCGUUAAGUAUCCCGCCUGGGGAGUACGCACGCAAGUGUGAAACUCAAAGGAAUUGACGGGGGCCCGCACAAGCGGUGGAGUAUGUGGUUUAAUUCGAUGCAACGCGAAGAACCUUACCAAGGCUUGACAUGUCGCGAAUCUUCCUGAAAGGGGAGAGUGCCUUCGGGAGCGCGAACACAGGUGGUGCAUGGCUGUCGUCAGCUCGUGUCGUGAGAUGUUGGGUUAAGUCCCGCAACGAGCGCAACCCACGUUUUUAGUUGCCAGCAUUCAGUUGGGCACUCUAGAGAGACUGCCGGUGACAAACCGGAGGAAGGUGUGGAUGACGUCAAGUCAGCAUGCCCCAUACGCCUUGGGCUACACACGUACUACAAUGCUACGGACAGAGGGACGCCAGCCCGCGAGGGUGAGCAAAUCUCGUAAACCGUGGCUCAGUUCAGAUUGCAGGCUGCAACUCGCCUGCAUGAAGGCGGAAUCGCUAGUAAUCGCCGGUCAGCAUACGGCGGUGAAUACGUUCCCGGGCCUUGUACACACCGCCCGUCACACCAUGGGAGUUGGUCAUGCCCGAAGUCGUUACUCCAACCAUUCGUGGAGGGGGACGCCGAAGGUGGGGCUGAUGACUGGGGUGAAGUCGUAACAAGGUAGCCGUACCGGAAGGUGUGGCUGGAUCACCUCCUUUUAGGGAGACCUUACCCCCAUUAUUUGUGAGCGUUGUGUUUGCUGUGAGCAAAUGCACGUUUAAGGCAAAGAAUGGCAGGUCAUCUCAAGGUCGGUCGAAGACUAAGUGUUGGCUUCUAAACUAUUCAGGUUCGGGUUAUGGGCUAUUAGCUCAGGUGGUUAGAGCGCACCCCUGAUAAGGGUGAGGUCCCUGGUUCGAGUCCAGGAUGGCCCACCUUACGAUUAAGUUUGGGGGUUUAGCUCAGUUGGUAGAGCGCCUGCUUUGCAAGCAGGAUGUCAGCGGUUCGAGUCCGCUAACCUCCACUGAGGGAUAUUUCAGCAACAGUAUUAGUUGAACUAAGCUGCCUGCCGGGAGACAUUCCAGCAAGAACCAUGAAAACUGCAUAGUGAUAAGCAAUUAAGUCAGGUAGAAGUUCAUCUUUAGUCUGUCUUCAUGUCUUCAGGAUUGAAGCGACGAGAUGAACCUUCAUAGACACCAAUGAAAAUGAGUUAGUGGUCAAGCUAACAAGGGCAGAUGGUGGAUACCUAGGCACACAGAGGCGAAG